Molecule: ribosomal RNA, 253 nt
Filed under: uncultured bacterium
Lineage: Bacteria
Description: partial 16S ribosomal RNA
Rfam family: Bacterial small subunit ribosomal RNA
Source: RNAcentral
UACGUAGGGUCCGAGCGUUGUCCGGAAUUAUUGGGCGUAAAGGGCUCGUAGGCGGUCUGUCGCGUCGGGAGUGAAAACUCAGGGCUUAACCCUGAGCCUGCUUCCGAUACGGGCAGACUAGAGGUAUGCAGGGGAGAACGGAAUUCCUGGUGUAGCGGUGGAAUGCGCAGAUAUCAGGAGGAACACCGGUGGCGAAGGCGGUUCUCUGGGCAUUACCUGACGCUGAGGAGCGAAAGUGUGGGGAGCGAACAGG